RNAcentral lists this ribosomal RNA (253 nucleotides) under uncultured bacterium. RNAcentral's name for it is "partial 16S ribosomal RNA". It matches the Rfam family "Bacterial small subunit ribosomal RNA", at positions 524 to 776 of the family's 1533-position model. The record is from RNAcentral.
UACAGAGGGUGCAAGCGUUAAUCGGAUUUACUGGGCGUAAAGCGUGCGUAGGUGGCUCGCCAAGUCGAUUGUGAAAGCCCUGGGCUCAACCUGGGAAUUGCAGUCGAUACUGGUGAACUAGAGUUCGGUAGAGGGUGACGGAAUUCCCGGUGUAGCGGUGAAAUGCGCAGAUAUCGGGAGGAACACCAAUGGCGAAGGCAGCUCGCUGGGACGUUACUGACGCUGAGACGCGAAAGCGUGGGGAGCAAACAGG